Molecule: ribosomal RNA, 253 nt
Filed under: uncultured bacterium
Lineage: Bacteria
Description: partial 16S ribosomal RNA
Rfam family: Bacterial small subunit ribosomal RNA
Source: RNAcentral
UACAGAGGUCUCGAGCGUUGUUCGGAUUCAUUGGGCGUAAAGGGUGCGUAGGUGGCGGGGUAAGUCAGGUGUGAAAUCCCGGGGCUCAACCCCGGAACUGCAUGUGAUACUGCCUUGCUCGAGUACUGGAGAGGAGACUGGAAUUUACGGUGUAGCAGUGAAAUGCGUAGAUAUCGUAAGGAAGACCAGUGGCGAAGGCGAGUCUCUGGACAGUUACUGACACUGAGGCACGAAGGCCAGGGGAGCAAAAGGG